GCGGUCGUCGUCUAGUGGUAAGGCAGGUGGCUUCCAACCAUCGAACGGGAUUUCGAUCAUCCCCGACCGCU
RNAcentral lists this transfer RNA (71 nucleotides) under Rhodocyclaceae bacterium. RNAcentral describes it as "tRNA-Gly". It matches the Rfam family "tRNA". Rfam says of the family: Transfer RNA (tRNA) molecules are approximately 80 nucleotides in length. Their secondary structure includes four short double-helical elements and three loops (D, anti-codon, and T loops). The record is from RNAcentral. Lineage: Bacteria; Pseudomonadati; Pseudomonadota; Betaproteobacteria; Rhodocyclales; Rhodocyclaceae.